CUAUCGACAGGCUUAACACAUGCAAGUCGAGGGGCAGCACAGGUAGCAAUACCGGGUGGCGACCGGCGCACGGGUGAGUAACGCGUAUGCAACUUACCUAUCAGAGGGGGAUAACCCGGCGAAAGUCGGACUAAUACCGCAUGAAGCAGGGGCCCCGCAUGGGGAUAUUUGCUAAAGAUUCAUCGCUGAUAGAUAGGCAUGCGUUCCAUUAGGCAGUUGGCGGGGUAACGGCCCACCAAACCGACGAUGGAUAGGGGUUCUGAGAGGAAGGUCCCCCACAUUGGUACUGAGACACGGACCAAACUCCUACGGGAGGCAGCAGUGAGGAAUAUUGGUCAAUGGCCGAGAGGCUGAACCAGCCAAGUCGCGUGAGGGAUGAAGGUUCUAUGGAUCGUAAACCUCUUUUAUAAGGGAAUAAAGUGCGGGACGUGUCCCGUUUUGUAUGUACCUUAUGAAUAAGGAUCGGCUAACUCCGUGCCAGCAGCCGCGGUAAUACGGAGGAUUCGAGCGUUAUCCGGAUUUAUUGGGUUUAAAGGGUGCGUAGGCGGCCUUUUAAGUCAGCGGUGAAAGUCUGUGGCUCAACCAUAGAAUUGCCGUUGAAACUGGGGGGCUUGAGUAUGUUUGAGGCAGGCGGAAUGCGUGGUGUAGCGGUGAAAUGCAUAGAUAUCACGCAGAACCCCGAUUGCGAAGGCAGCCUGCCAAGCCAUGACUGACGCUGAUGCACGAAAGCGUGGGGAUCAAACAGGAUUAGAUACCCUGGUAGUCCACGCAGUAAACGAUGAUCACUAGCUGUUUGCGAUACACAGUAAGCGGCACAGCGAAAGCGUUAAGUGAUCCACCUGGGGAGUACGCCGGCAACGGUGAAACUCAAAGGAAUUGACGGGGGCCCGCACAAGCGGAGGAACAUGUGGUUUAAUUCGAUGAUACGCGAGGAACCUUACCCGGGUUUGAACGCAUUCGGACCGAGGUGGAAACACCUUUUCUAGCAAUAGCCGUUUGCGAGGUGCUGCAUGGUUGUCGUCAGCUCGUGCCGUGAGGUGUCGGCUUAAGUGGCAUAACGAGCGCAACCCUUGCCACUAGUUACUAACAGGUGAUGCUGAGGACUCUGGUGGGACUGCCAGCGUAAGCUGCGAGGAAGGCGGGGAUGACGUCAAAUCAGCACGGCCCUUACAUCCGGGGCGACACACGUGUUACAAUGGCGUGGACAAAGGGAGGCCACCUGGCGACAGGGAGCGAAUCCCCAAACCACGUCUCAGUUCGGAUCGGAGUCUGCAACCCGACUCCGUGAAGCUGGAUUCGCUAGUAAUCGCGCAUCAGCCAUGGCGCGGUGAAUACGUUCCCGGGCCUUGUACACACCGCCCGUCAAGCCAUGGGAGUCGGGGGUACCUGAAGUCCGUAACCGCGAGGAUCGGCCUAGGGUAAAACUGGUGACUGGGGCU
This 1439-nucleotide ribosomal RNA is filed under the name uncultured organism. RNAcentral's name for it is "SSU rRNA". It matches the Rfam family "Bacterial small subunit ribosomal RNA". The record is from RNAcentral.